AUUGAACGCUGGCGGCAGGCCUAACACAUGCAAGUCGAACGAGUGGCGGACGGGUGAGUAAUGUCUGGGAAACUGCCUGAUGGAGGGGGAUAACUACUGGAAACGGUAGCUAAUAACGCAAACCAUAGGAUGUGCCCAGAUGGGAUUAGCUAGUAGUUGGGGUAAAGGCUCACCUCGGCGACGAUCCCUAGCUGGUCUGAGAGGAUGACCAGCCACACUGGAACUGAGACACGGUCCAGACUCCUACGGGAGGCAGCAGUGGGGAAUAUGGCACAAUGGGCGCAAGCCUGAUGCAGCCAUGCCGCGUGUAUGAAGAAGGCCUUCGGGUGGUAAAGUCCUUUCAGCGGGGAGGCGUUACCCGCAGAAGAAGCACCGGCUAACUCCGUGCCAGCAGCCGCGGUAAUAC
This 406-nucleotide ribosomal RNA is filed under the name uncultured bacterium. RNAcentral's name for it is "partial 16S ribosomal RNA". It matches the Rfam family "Bacterial small subunit ribosomal RNA", at positions 30 to 526 of the family's 1533-position model. The record is from RNAcentral.